This 1024-nucleotide ribosomal RNA is filed under the name Bacillus pumilus. Its description in RNAcentral is "bacterial SSU rRNA". It matches the Rfam family "Bacterial small subunit ribosomal RNA", at positions 78 to 1158 of the family's 1533-position model. Lineage: Bacteria; Bacillati; Bacillota; Bacilli; Caryophanales; Bacillaceae. The record is from RNAcentral.
GCUUGCUCCCGGAUGUUAGCGGCGGACGGGUGAGUAACACGUGGGUAACCUGCCUGUAAGACUGGGAUAACUCCGGGAAACCGGAGCUAAUACCGGAUAGUUCCUUGAACCGCAUGGUUCAAGAUGAAAGACGGUUUCGGCUGUCACUUACAGAUGGACCCGCGGCGAUUAGCUAGUUGGUGGGGUAAUGGCUCACCAAGGCGACGAUGCGUAGCGACCUGAGAGGUGAUCGGCCACACUGGGACUGAGACACGGCCCAAACUCCUAGGGGGGCAGCGGGGGGGAUCCUUCCGCAUUGAACGAAGUCUGACGAACACCCCCGCGUGAGUAAUGAGGUUUUUCGGAUCGAAAAGUUCUUUUGUAGGGGAAGAACAGGGCGAAAUACUUCUCCGCCCUGGACGGUACCUAACAGAAAGCCACGGCUAACUACGUGCCACCGCGGGGUAAUACGAGGUGGCAAGCUUUGUCCGAAUUUUUGGGCGUAAGGGCUCGCGGCGGUUUCUUAAGUCUAUGUGAAGCCCCCGGUCCACCGGGAGGUCAUUGGAACUGGGAAACUUGGUCCGAAAAGAGGUGGAUCCCACGUGAGCGUAAAGGUAGAGAUUGGAGGACCCAGUGGGAGGCGCUUUUGUCCGUAACUACGCUAGACGAAAGCUUGGGAGCGAAAAGAUUAGAUACCUGGUGUCCCCCCGUAACAAUGAGUGCUCAGUGUAGGGGUUUCGCCCUAGUGCGCAGCUAAGCAUUAAGCACUCGCCUGGGAGUACGGUGCAAGACUGAAACUCAAAGAAUUACGGGGCCGCCCAACGGUGAGCAUGUGGUUUAAUCGAAGCAACGCGAGAACCUUACCAGGUCUUGACAUCCUCUGACAUCCCUAGAGAUAGGGCUCUCCUUCGGGGACAGAGUGACAGGUGGUGCAUGGUUGUCGUCAGCUCGUGUCGUGAGAUGUUGGGUUAAGUCCCGCAACGAGCGCAACCCUUGAUCUUAGUUGCCAGCAUUCAGUUGGGCACUCUAAGGUGACUGCCGGUGA